CUGGGUUCUGGGGAUGCUGUUGAGCUGCUCGAUGAGCCCACUUUGGACCUGCCCUACCGCCAGACUUUUUGUGAUCCAAGUGCAAGGAAAUUACAGGGCUAUCAACUCUAUCUCUUUCCAAGACCAGAAAGUCGGCAGAUGGAGAACGGUUUCUAGAUGGGGAGGGAAUCUGCCUUUGGAACUUUUAGCGACCUGGUAUGGUUCAACAUUCCAUCACUAUGCAAAAAUAAAUAAAUAAAUUGCAGACCAACGUA
Molecule: long non-coding RNA, 254 nt
Organism: Homo sapiens (human)
Lineage: Eukaryota; Metazoa; Chordata; Mammalia; Primates; Hominidae
Exons: 2
Source: RefSeq, a predicted model, not a curated record